Molecule: ribosomal RNA, 476 nt
Filed under: uncultured bacterium
Lineage: Bacteria
Description: SSU rRNA
Rfam family: Bacterial small subunit ribosomal RNA
Source: RNAcentral
AGAAUCAACGCUGGCGGCGUGCCUAACACAUGCAAGUCGAGCGGAAAGGCCCUUCGGGGUACUCGAGCGGCGAACGGGUGAGUAACACGUGAGCAAUCUGCCCCUAGCUCUGGGAUAGCUCCGGGAAACCGGGAUUAAUACCAGAUACAACCACUUUAGACAUCUUUUGUGGUGGAAAGGAUUCCGGCUAGGGAUGAGCUCGCGGCCUAUCAGCUUGUUGGUUGGGGUAACGGCCCACCAAGGCGACGACGGGUAGCCGGCCUGAGAGGGCGACCGGCCACACUGGGACUGAGACACGGCCCCAGACUCCUACGGGAGGCAGCAGUGGGGAAUAUUGCGCAAUGGGCGAAAGCCUGACGCAGCGACGCCGCGUGGGGGAUGAAGGCCUUCGGGUUGUAAACCCCUUUCAGCAGGGACGAAGCGAAAGUGACGGUACCUGCAGAAGAAGCGCCGGCUAACUACGUGCCAGCAGCCGC